UGAUGUUAGCUUCAUCAGUGCUAGUCUU
This 28-nucleotide small RNA is filed under the name Bombyx mori (domestic silkworm). RNAcentral describes it as "ovarian small RNA-32957". Lineage: Eukaryota; Metazoa; Arthropoda; Insecta; Lepidoptera; Bombycidae. The record is from RNAcentral.